CUAAAAAUAAAACCAGAGCCGCCACCGCUCUUCUUCUUCUUGGCCUUUUUUCUGUUCCGCCACUUUCUUCUUCGCGAGAGAGGAGGACAGAGAGGCCUGCAGCGAUGGGUAAGAGAGCGAAGAGUUCAAGGAAGGGAAAGAAAGAAUGGAGGGCCAACAUAAGCACUGAAGACAUUGAAGAUUAUUUUGAGAAAACCACCAAAGACGCUCUUUCCGGUGGUUCUUUGGCUGAUGUGCCCAGUGAUUCUCUCUUCUUCCUUGAUAAAUCCAGAGAUCUUUCUGUUAAGCGGAAGAUUGAGAAAAACAGAGAAAAAGUACUGCGAUGUGAUAGUGUUUUGCAGAGAAACCCUUUUAUCAAAGCUAUUCCGUCCUCUACACAGAAUAAGAAAAAGUCAAAUAGAAAGGGUAAAGCUGUACCAACACCAGUAGAUGAAGAUGUUGCGCAGGGCAGUCUGAAGGAUGAAAAUACACAUGAUUCUGGUGUUCUUGACUUGUGGGAAGAGAAAGGAGGAGUCGAGGCCAAAAUAACAAAGAAGCCCAAGACUUGCAUUAUUCCUGCUGUUGAGGUUGAACAUCCUGGAUGUUCUUUCAAUCCUCAUCCCGAGAGCCAUCAGGAUGCUUUAGCUCGUGCUGUUGCAGAUGAAAUGCAGAAAAUUUACCAACAUGAAUUGGGGCCUCAGCCGAUCCCUUUAGUUGUCCCUGGUGAAGCUAUUGAUGAAGAAUAUAAAUAUUUCCUUGAGGCAGAUGCGGAUGAUGGAACUGAUGAUGAUGAGCAAAAUGAAAAUCAGGAUGAUGACGGAGAUGUUGAUGCAGAAAAGAGUUCUCAGAAAACCAAAAGGGUGACACGGGUGGAGUUCAACCGGAGGGCUAGACGGAAAGAACAGUUGAGAAUUGAAGCAGAAGCCAGAAAAGUGAAGGGACUUUCAAAAGACAUAGACAGUUUAUCAGAAAUAAUGCAAGAAAUAGCGAAAGAGGAUGAAGAGAAACACAACAGACAUCUUCGGCGGAUUGUUGCUAAGCAGGAAAGAUUGAAAGCUCGUCCAUCUCGCUUGGGAAAGUACAAAUUCGAGCCUUCUCCACUCCAAGUUCUAUUAACUGAAGAGAAAACUGGUUCACUUCGGCAGUUGAAGGUGCUCGCUUCUGGAAAUAGGGCUGCUGUACGCUAGUCAGAGAUCGUUACAAGAGCCUAGAGAAAAGAGGCCUGAUUAUCCCAACAAGGAAGGGUAGCAGGAGGUAGAAUGGAGGUGGGAUAUUUAGAAUCGAGAGCGAUGAGAAAGUGAAGCUGUGCUUCAUUGUUUUGCAGUCGAGAUCUUUCUAUCGUUUGAGUAGCCGGAGAAAUCACCAGUUGGUUUAGAAACAAAUAGGAAUUUUAUCUCUCAGUCACAUCAAAUAUUUCUUUUAUUUGUUUUAAUGUUUGCGAGACUGAUAUAUGUAUGCUUUACUUGGUUAUUCGUAUGAUUGAAUGAUAAAAACGAGAUCUUUGGAGUUUA
Molecule: non-coding RNA, 1490 nt
Organism: Salvia hispanica
Lineage: Eukaryota; Viridiplantae; Streptophyta; Magnoliopsida; Lamiales; Lamiaceae
Source: RefSeq, a predicted model, not a curated record